RNAcentral lists this ribosomal RNA (460 nucleotides) under uncultured bacterium. RNAcentral describes it as "partial 16S ribosomal RNA". It matches the Rfam family "Bacterial small subunit ribosomal RNA", at positions 338 to 795 of the family's 1533-position model. The record is from RNAcentral.
CCUACGGGAGGCAGCAGUGAGGAAUAUUGGUCAAUGGACGAGAGUCUGAACCAGCCAAGUAGCGUGAAGGAUGACUGCCCUAUGGGUUGUAAACUUCUUUUAUAUGGGAAUAAAACGUUCCACGUGUGGGAUUUUGUAUGUACCAUAUGAAUAAGGAUCGGCUAACUCCGUGCCAGCAGCCGCGGUAAUACGGAGGAUCCGAGCGUUAUCCGGAUUUAUUGGGUUUAAAGGGAGCGUAGGUGGUUUGUUAAGUCAGUUGUGAAAGUUUGCGGCUCAACCGUAAAAUUGCAGUUGAAACUGGCAGUCUUGAGUACAGUAGAGGUUGGCGGAAUUCGUGGUGUAGCGGUGAAAUGCUUAGAUAUCACGAAGAACUCCGAUUGCGAAGGCAGUUCACUGGACUGCAACUGACACUGAGGCUCGAAAGUGUGGGUAUCAAACAGGAUUAGAUACCCGGGUAGUC